GACGAACGCUGGCGGCGUGCUUAACACAUGCAAGUCGAACGGAAAGGCCCUGCUUUUGUGGGGUGCUCGAGUGGCGAACGGGUGAGUAACACGUGAGUAACCUGCCCUUGACUUUGGGAUAACUUCAGGAAACUGGGGCUAAUACCGGAUAGGAGCUCCUGCUGCAUGGUGGGGGUUGGAAAUUUUCGGCGGUUGGGGAUGGACUCGCGGCUUAUCAGCUUGUUGGUGGGGUAGUGGCUUACCAAGGCUUUGACGGGUAGCCGGCCUGAGAGGGUGACCGGCCACAUUGGGACUGCGAUAGGGCCCAGAGUCCUACGGGAGGCAGCAGUGGGGAAUAUUGCACAAUGGGCGGAAGCCUGAUGCAGCAGCGCCGCGUGCGGGAUGACGGCCUUUGGGUUGUAAACCGCUUUCGCCUGUGACGACGCGUGAGUGACGGUAAUGGGUAAAGAAGCACCGGCUAACUACGUG
Molecule: ribosomal RNA, 468 nt
Filed under: uncultured bacterium
Lineage: Bacteria
Description: partial 16S ribosomal RNA
Rfam family: Bacterial small subunit ribosomal RNA
Source: RNAcentral